This 673-nucleotide ribosomal RNA is filed under the name uncultured Bacteroidota bacterium. Its description in RNAcentral is "bacterial SSU rRNA". It matches the Rfam family "Bacterial small subunit ribosomal RNA", at positions 103 to 774 of the family's 1533-position model. Lineage: Bacteria; Pseudomonadati; Bacteroidota. The record is from RNAcentral.
CGGGUGCGUAACGCGUAUGCAAUCUGCCUAUAACUGAGGGAUAGCCCAGAGAAAUUUGGAUUAAUACCUCAUAAUAUUGUUUUUUGGCAUCAUUAAACAAUUAAAACUUCGGUGGUUAUAGAUGAGCAUGCGUCCUAUUAGCUUGUUGGUAAGGUAACGGCCUACCAAGGCAACGAUAGGUAGGGGGCCUGAAAGGGUGAUCCCCCACACUGGUACUGAGACACGGACCAGACUCCUACGGGAGGCAGCAGUGAGGAAUAUUGCGCAAUGGAGGAAACUCUGACGCAGCCAUGCCGCGUGCAGGAAGACGGCCCUACGGGUCGUAAACUGCUUUUAUAUAGGAAGAAACCCCGAUACGUGUAUCGGCUUGACGGUACUAUAUGAAUAAGGACCGGCUAACUCCGUGCCAGCAGCCGCGGUAAUACGGAGGGUCCAAGCGUUAUCCGGAUUUAUUAGGUUUAAAGGGUCCGCAGGCGGGAUUUUAAGUCAGUGGUGAAAGCCUACAGCUCAACUGUAGAACUGCCAUUGAUACUGAUAUCCUUGAGUGUGGUUGAAGUGGGCGGAACAUGUCAUGUAGCGGUGAAAUGCAUAGAUAUGACAUAGAACACCAAUUGCGAAGGCAGCUCACUAAGCCAUUACUGACGCUGAGGGACGAAAGCGUGGGGAGCGAACA